This 604-nucleotide ribosomal RNA is filed under the name Pichia sp. HA1559. RNAcentral describes it as "eukaryotic LSU rRNA". It matches the Rfam family "Eukaryotic large subunit ribosomal RNA", at positions 9 to 633 of the family's 3401-position model. Lineage: Eukaryota; Fungi; Ascomycota; Pichiomycetes; Pichiales; Pichiaceae. The record is from RNAcentral.
AAUCAGGUAGGACUACCCGCUGAACUUAAGCAUAUCAAUAAGCGGAGGAAAAGAAACCAACAGGGAUUGCCUUAGUAGCGGCGAGUGAAGCGGCAAGAGCUCAAAUUUGAAAUCUGGUACCUUCGGUGCCCGAGUUGUAAUUUGAAGAAAGCUAUCUUGGAUUUGGCCUUUGUCUAUGUUCCUUGGAACAGGACGUCACAGAGGGUGAGAAUCCCGUGCGAUGAGGUGUCCAUUUCUAUGUAAGAUGUUUUCGAAGAGUCGAGUUGUUUGGGAAUGCAGCUCUAAGUGGGUGGUAAAUUCCAUCUAAAGCUAAAUAUUGGCGAGAGACCGAUAGCGAACAAGUACAGUGAUGGAAAGAUGAAAAGAACUUUGAAAAGAGAGUGAAAAAGUACGUGAAAUUGUUGAAAGGGAAGGGUAUUAGAUCAGACUUGGUAUUUAGUUAUCAUUGCUCCUUGUGGGUGGUGCUCUAGCUUUUUACUGGGCCAGCAUCAGUUUUGGUGGCAAGAUAAUGACAUUUGAACGUGGCUCUUCGGAGUGUUAUAGCUUUUGUUGAUAUUGCCUACUGGGACUGAGGUCUGCGGCUUUUGCCUAGGAUGCUGGCGUA